AAGACACUAGUAAAAUAUUACACUGCCUUGUCAAGACAGAAUUGUAGGUUAAAAUCCUGCGUGCCUUA
This 68-nucleotide transfer RNA is filed under the name Pisodonophis cancrivorus (longfin snake-eel). RNAcentral's name for it is "tRNA-Asp". It matches the Rfam family "tRNA". From Rfam's summary of the family: Transfer RNA (tRNA) molecules are approximately 80 nucleotides in length. Their secondary structure includes four short double-helical elements and three loops (D, anti-codon, and T loops). The record is from RNAcentral. Lineage: Eukaryota; Metazoa; Chordata; Actinopteri; Anguilliformes; Ophichthidae.